UUCCAUUAUUCUACCAAGUGAUUAACAAUUUGUACUCUCAUUAGUAUCAAUUGCUUCAUAUCCACAUCAAUAGCUGGUAUGGUCAGAUUUUGAAUUUUUAUCAGUCUGAAGGAUGUGGAAUGGUAUUUCAUUGCGAUAUUAAUAUUCAUUUUCCUGAUUACUAUUAGUUUUUUAUGUUAAUUUAGCUUUUAAAAAUUUCUUUUAGUGAAUUGCCUAUCUUUCCUAUUAGGUUAUUCCUUUUUAGUAUUAGUUCUUCAUCUAUUGUGGAUAUUUCAUAUAACCUGCUACAAAUAUUUGUUAGUGAAAUGUAUUGCACAUGUCUUCUCAGGGCCAAUGACUAAUUAUUCUUGAAUUUUGUCUUUUUGAUGCACAGGUCUUAAAUGUAAUGUCAAUGAAGUUAUUAAUCUUAUUUUUGUAAUUUAUGCUUUUUGUGACUUGUAAGAAAUCUUUCUGUAACCUGAGGUGAUAAGCAUUUACUUGUAAAAACAGAAAGUUUUUCCUUUCUCUUUUCUUUUUCUUUCUUCCUUUUUUCUUUAUCUUGGCAAUACUGGGGACUGAACCCAUAAACACUUAACCACUGAGUUACAUCCUUAGCCCUUUAUUUUACUUUAAUAUCUUCUUUUGAGACAGGGUCUUGUAAAGUUGUCCAGGCUGCUCUCCAACUUGGGAGCCUCCUGCCCCAGCCUCCUGGGUCGCUGGAAUUCCAAGUAUGUGCUACCAUGCCCAACUUGCCUUUCCUUUUGAGACCUUUAAUCCACCUUGGAAUUGAUUUUUACUUACAAUAUGGAGAUUCAAAUUUAUUUUUAACCAAAUGAGUAGCCAACUGUGGGACACCUCUGUUGUUCUGUCCCCACUGACAUUUCACACCUCUCUUUGGUUACCAGUGUCCAUAUAUGCACGAGUAUUUUUCUGUGCUUCCCACUCUAGAGCAUUCAUCUACUAGUCUAAGUCAUCACCAAUACCACUCUCAAUUCUUAGACUACUCUAAUAAUAGUUACACUUGGUAGAGUAAUCCCAAAUCUAUGCUUCUUCUAGCUAUUUUCGGUUCUUUGCUUUUCUACAGAAAUGUAAAGUCAACUUUUCAAGAUCCGAGAAAUCUGAGUGCAGUGACCCACACCUACCAUCCCAGUGACUCAGGAGGUUGAAGCAGGAGGAUUGGAUUGUACAUUCGAGGCCACCCUGGGCAAGACCCACAGCAAGUUAGAGAGACCCUGUCUCAAAAUUUUAAGAAAUAGAAUAAAAAUGAAUGGGGAUGUGGUUCAGUGGUAAAGUGCCCCUGGGUUUGAUCCCCAGUACCAAAAAAAGAAAAAAGUAAUCCAGAUGGUCUUGGGGAUGGUCUUUAGGAAACUGUGUCUUCUUGUCUAUUGGCCAGGUGUGUGUUUUCUCAUCUUUUCACUUUUGGCCUUUUGCAGUCUCUGUAAAUAGCAUCAAACAGACUUGUCACAAGCUGAAGACCUGUUUUUAGAGGCAAGUAUGAUCUAUCAAUAUUAAGGUGGAUUUGGAAUUAUUUCCUAUUUGCUUUCUUUUUCCCUAGCUUAUUCUAUAUUCCUACUUCCACCACCGCCUUAUUUGGAUUGAUUGAGGAUUUUAUUUAGUUGCUUUUCCCACCCACAUUGGAUUCAAAUGUACAUACUUUAAUUUGAUGGUUCUGAAAUGUUAGGGUUCAGAAUUCCCUGCAGGGAUGCUUAAAACAGAUUGCUGAUCUCCACUGCAGAGUUUCGAAUGUAGGUUGCUGGGAUGGAGCCAACAAUUUACAUUUCCAAAUUCAUCAUCAUCAUCAUCAUCAUCAUCAUCAUCAUUAUCAUCAUCAUCAUCCCUGGUAUGUUGAUAUUCUGGUCUGUGACCCCAUUUUAAGAAAAUUUGUUCUAAUUCUAUUCUUCUAGUGGUUAGCCUUCCACUUUUUAACAUUCACAAUUAAAAUAUAAAAUUAGUAAAUAUAUUCACUAUCUUUCUAAAAACGUGAGGACUUCAGAAUAUUUUAACUCUAAUUUUAUCUAUCCUAUCUUACAUGUUUUUGCAUUCCAGGACCUACCUUGUUUUUUAGGUUCACAACUCAGAUACUAUUAUUGUUUUUACAUGGAGGUUUGUGAAUACUUUCACAAAUCUAUACCAAUUUCUUUACUCUGUGCUCAAUUUUUGUAGGUUUUUGGUUUUGCUCUUGUUUUCACAGUGCUGAGGUCAAAACCAGAGCCUCACAGAUUCUAGGGCUCUACCACUGAGCUACACCCCCACCCACUUAUUCCUCUUAAACUUCUGAACUUUCUCCUGGAAUUCUUUCUUUCCCUUCUACAUAUGGUUGGACACCCUUAUACAAGUUCCUUCAGUGACAAUCUGUGGAGAGUAGAUGCUCAAUCUUCUUUGUUAAUAUUAUUUUGUAGUUUAUUGGGUUUCAGAUUUGACAAUUUUGUUUGUUUGUUGCUUGUUGGGAUAUAAAAAUGAGUCCUUUUUCCAUCUACAUUUUUUAAUGAUAAUUCAUCUAGACGUGUAAUUCCACAUUAGCAGUUUAUUUUCACAGCAUUUUGAAGCUAGUACUCUUCCACUGACCUCUGGCCUCCACUGUUACCUUUGAGGAAUCUGCUGUUGAUCUUAACACUGUACUUAAAAUUAUCACCAGUCUUUUUCCCAGGAACCCACCAGUUUUUUUCCAUCAUUAAUAUCAGUAUCACUAUCAUGUGUUAAGGUGCUUCUUUACUUAUUCAAUAUGGGCCUCAAGUUGCUUAGGGCCUUGCUUAAGUGCUGAGACUGGCCUCAAACUUGCAGUCCUCCUACCUCACCCUCCUGUGUGCCACCAUGCCCAGCCUGGCUUAUGGGAUUUUUAUUAGAAGACUGUUAAGUUCCCCCAUUCCAUCCUUCAUGCCACUUAAGUCCUGACAUUUCUUCUCUUUCUUCGUCUCUCUACACCAUGCUCUGGAUUUGUUUUCAGCUCCAAUCCAAUUAAUUCUAUAUCUAAUUCUUUCUUUUUUUAACCAGAUCAAAUCUAUUUCAAUCUUUUGAUGGUUUGUUGCCUUUUUGUUCUUUUAGUUUUAUUGAUUAUAUUUAUUUUUAGAAAUUCUCUUUAGUACGUUAAAAAAAAAAUCUGCCUAAAACUAAUCUGUGCUAUGAGAGUUAGGACACUAGUCACUCUUGGUGGUGUGGGAGAUGACAAGAAAGAAACCUGGGGCUGGGGACUUGGUGUUCUGCGUGCUGGUUAGAUGAAUGUGUUUAGGUUGUAAAACCCAGCAACCUAUUUAUUUAUAAUUUGUGUCCUUUUUGGUAUAUAUAUGAUUAUAUUAUAUAAUAUCUUUUGUUCCUUUCUUGUUUUUUUAAAAUUUUAGCCAAACAUUUUGGGCUUAUUUGUUUUACAUUCUGUAUCUGCUAAAUUCUUUAAGGAGUUUUUUGCUGAUUCUAAUUUAUGGUGGUGGUGGUGGUGGUGUGUGUGUGUGUGUGUGUGUGUGUGUGUGAACUGAGAGUUUACCUUCAGUUAGACUUAUCUGUCAGGCCUAGGUUUAGAUAUGUCCCUCCAAAAGAUCUGCACUGUUUCUGUCACCUGUCUAGAAGUGCUAUCAACUCAGGAUCAUGCAGGGAGAAAAAGCCAUUUAUGAAAUGGAAGGAGUUCAUCCCCCAAACCCAAUCAUGCUGGCACCCUGAUUUUGGAUUUCCAGCCUCUAGAACCAAGAGAAAUAAACACAUGCUGUUCAAACAAUCCAAUCCACAGCUUUCUUUUAUUGUAGCCCAAAUUGGCCAAGAACACUGGGGUGUGGGCAGUGGGUACCAACAAACGUAGAACUUUACUAAGAAGAGUGUUCUUUAUGCACUUUAUUGUGUAUAUGUAAAACCUCAAUAAAAAGGAAAAAUCUUUGGGUCACCGCCACUUUCCUAUUGAAACAGAAGGUCAGUAUUGGUUGUCUAGUUUCUUUCUGUCUGUCUUUCUUUCUGACAGGGUCUCACUAAGUUACCCAAGUGACCUCAAAUUUAUAAUCCUCCUGCCUCAGACUUCAGAAUCACUGGGAUUACAGGCAUGCACCUCCAUGCCCAGUUUUCAGUUUCUUUCAACCCACAUUCCUCCGUUUGCUGAGCCCAGAGCUAAAGUAGCCACCCCCUGCCCUUAGCAAACCAUUGUGAACUUUCCUCAGGCCAUUA
This 4119-nucleotide long non-coding RNA is filed under the name Marmota monax (woodchuck). The record is from RNAcentral. Lineage: Eukaryota; Metazoa; Chordata; Mammalia; Rodentia; Sciuridae.